AGUGGACGCUGGCGGUAGGCCUAACACAUGCAAGUCGAACGGCAGCACAGUAAGAGCUUGCUCUUACGGGUGGCGAGUGGCGGACGGGUGAGGAAUACAUCGGAAUCUACUUUUUCGUGGGGGAUAACGUAGGGAAACUUACGCUAAUACCGCAUACGACCUACGGGUGAAAGCAGGGGAUCUUCGGACCUUGCGCGAUUGAAUGAGCCGAUGUCGGAUUAGCUAGUUGGCGGGGUAAAGGCCCACCAAGGCGACGAUCCGUAGCUGGUCUGAGAGGAUGAUCAGCCACACUGGAACUGAGACACGGUCCAGACUCCUACGGGAGGCAGCAGUGGGGAAUAUUGGACAAUGGGCGCAAGCCUGAUCCAGCCAUACCGCGUGGGUGAAGAAGGCCUUCGGGUUGUAAGGCCCUUUUGUUGGGAAAGAAAAGCAGCAGGUUAAUACCCCGCUGUUCUGACGGUACCCAAAGAAUAAGCACCGGCUAACUUCGUG
RNAcentral lists this ribosomal RNA (492 nucleotides) under uncultured bacterium. RNAcentral describes it as "partial 16S ribosomal RNA". It matches the Rfam family "Bacterial small subunit ribosomal RNA", at positions 29 to 507 of the family's 1533-position model. The record is from RNAcentral.